CCCCCUUCUGGUUCUGCAAUGAGUAGUUACAUUGUUCCUCAGAGUGCUGAAUUUUGAGAGCAAAGCAUUACAGAAAUGUAAAAAAAUCUUGAAGGCCAGGUGCGGUGUCUCAUGCCUGUAAUCCCAGCACUUUGGGAGGCUGAGAUGGAGUCUCGCUGUGUCACCAGGCUGGAGUACAGUAGUGUGAUCUCGGCUCAUUGCAACCUCCAUCUCCCAGGUUCAAGCAAUCCUCCUGCCUCAGCCUCCUGAGUAGCUGGGACUACAGAAAACAAGCUCAUAUUACCAAGUGUGAAAUUACAGCAAGUCUUACAGGCUGGGAACUGGAAAAGAGCUUCCCCAUCAUGGUGGAUUAUACAACCAGUGGUGGAGAGUAACUCCAAAAUAUAGCAUCUUUCUACUCAUCUUACUAAAGCUCAAAGAAGGUGAUCUACAAGAUAAUGAAAACAAGGCUCAAAAUAAAAACAAGAAAUCUUUAUGAAAUUACACAA
RNAcentral lists this long non-coding RNA (488 nucleotides) under Homo sapiens (human). Its description in RNAcentral is "long independently transcribed non-coding RNA 2093 (LINC02093)". Lineage: Eukaryota; Metazoa; Chordata; Mammalia; Primates; Hominidae. The record is from RNAcentral.